Molecule: transfer RNA, 49 nt
Filed under: Arthrobacter sp. JUb115
Lineage: Bacteria; Bacillati; Actinomycetota; Actinomycetes; Micrococcales; Micrococcaceae
Description: tRNA-Met
Rfam family: tRNA
About the family: Transfer RNA (tRNA) molecules are approximately 80 nucleotides in length. Their secondary structure includes four short double-helical elements and three loops (D, anti-codon, and T loops).
Source: RNAcentral
CGCCGGGCUCAUAACCCGGAGGUCAGAGGUUCAAAUCCUCUCCCCGCCA